This is a long non-coding RNA of Daphnia magna, 1048 nucleotides long. RefSeq lists it as uncharacterized. The transcript has 2 exons. Lineage: Eukaryota; Metazoa; Arthropoda; Branchiopoda; Diplostraca; Daphniidae. The record is from RefSeq and is a predicted model, not a curated record.
GGAAGAGGAAACAGGAGUAGAGAUACCUGCCAGCAAAUCAACUGUACUACGUGGCCAUGAAUCUGAAGUUUUCAUCUGCGCCUGAACCCAACAACUGAUUUAUUGGCUUCUGGCUCAGAUUGGGAACCUGAAUGCUAUUCAGAUGUGGUACAUGUAACAAGACACUUGUGUUCAUGAUUCGCAAGCACACAACAAGGAAAUCUACACCAUAAAAUGGAGUCUUACCGGUACAGUUGAUUUGCUGGCAGGUAUCUCUACUCCUGUUUCCUCUUCCCAGCCUUCAUUAAAUAGUUGAAGGGAAAAUAAGUAAGUAGUUCAGGGGAUCAAAGAAAAGUAUUGACCAUCUUACGAUAGGAAUGCAUGGGUUCAUCUCCAUUGGAAUUUGGUGGUUCUGUCUUUACCACUUGUGGUUUCUGAUUGUUCUGUGUUUGCUGUUGACGACUUGCAACAACAUCAGGCAUCACAGCAUCAAUGAGUGAUAAGCUUUCCAUGGGUUGUUCCGAACCAUCCUGAAAAACAAAAACAUACACGAGUAAAAAUUUGGUGGUAGAUAAAUUUCAUCAUAUUAAAAUUGUCACUCACAUCUCCAACACUGAUCUCAGACCCUUCUGGAUGAUGGAGAGAAGGGCUGCUGUUGCUACCAAUUGAUGUUGGAUUGUGAAAUAUGUGACUCUAUGCCAAAGGUGUAAGCAGAAUGCUGAAAACCUAUUUGAAAGGCAAUCAGCAGCGAUCAUGACGCCAUCAGGGUAGUCCAAUCAUGACGCUACCUAUUCACACAAGUUGAUAAUUACAAUAGUAGCAACUUAAGAUUGAAAAUAACAUGAUAUAAUUCUCUAACAUACCCGAAUUGAAGGUAAACAACUUACUCCAGCGAUAGCAUUGCACCAUAGACCACGCUAUUGAUGACGCUUGAUGUGUUGGCGUCUGCUAUGUGUGUGAAUCAAUUUGAAAUGAAAAUGAUUCAAAAUUGAAUUCUUACAGAUCAAAUGUAACGAAAAUUGUAAUUCAAAUUUUAAAAUGAUUAAAAAUAAAAUGUACACAUGUUGAA